Molecule: ribosomal RNA, 253 nt
Filed under: uncultured bacterium
Lineage: Bacteria
Description: partial 16S ribosomal RNA
Rfam family: Bacterial small subunit ribosomal RNA
Source: RNAcentral
UACGUAGGGUGCAAGCGUUGUCCGGAAUUAUUGGGCGUAAAGAGCUCGUAGGCGGCUUGUCGCGUCGACUGUGAAAACCUGGGGCUUAACUCCGGGCCUGCAGUCGAUACGGGCAAGCUAGAGUUCGGUAGGGGAGACUGGAAUUCCUGGUGUAGCGGUGAAAUGCGCAGAUAUCAGGAGGAACACCGGUGGCGAAGGCGGCUACCUGGACAGAAACUGACGCUGAGGCGCGAAAGCUAGGGGAGCAAACAGG